This 22-nucleotide microRNA is filed under the name Gallus gallus (chicken). RNAcentral describes it as "gga-miR-12210-5p". Lineage: Eukaryota; Metazoa; Chordata; Aves; Galliformes; Phasianidae. The record is from miRBase by way of RNAcentral.
GUUGUUCUGAAUCUAUCUUGGA